UACGUAGGGUGCAAGCGUUGUCCGGAAUUAUUGGGCGUAAAGAGCUCGUAGGCGGUCUGUCGCGUCUGCUGUGAAAACUCGGGGCUUAACCCCGGCCUGCAGUGGGUACGGGCAGACUAGAGUGCGGUAGGGGAGACUGGAAUUCCUGGUGUAGCGGUGAAAUGCGCAGAUAUCAGGAGGAACACCGGUGGCGAAGGCGGGUCUCUGGGCCGUAACUGACGCUGAGGAGCGAAAGCAUGGGGAGCGAACAGG
This 252-nucleotide ribosomal RNA is filed under the name uncultured bacterium. RNAcentral's name for it is "partial 16S ribosomal RNA". It matches the Rfam family "Bacterial small subunit ribosomal RNA", at positions 524 to 776 of the family's 1533-position model. The record is from RNAcentral.